UACGGAGGGUGCAAGCGUUAAUCGGAAUCACUGGGCGUAAAGCGCACGUAGGCGGCCCGGUAAGUCAGGGGUGAAAUCCCACAGCCCAACUGUGGAACUGCCCUUGAUACUGUCGGGCUUGAGUACCGGAGAGGGUGGCGGAAUUCCAGGUGUAGGAGUGAAAUCCGUAGAUAUCUGGAGGAACACCGGUGGCGAAGGCGGCCACCUGGACGGUAACUGACGCUGAGGUGCGAAAGCGUGGGUAGCAAACAGG
RNAcentral lists this ribosomal RNA (253 nucleotides) under Bilophila wadsworthia. Its description in RNAcentral is "partial 16S ribosomal RNA". It matches the Rfam family "Bacterial small subunit ribosomal RNA", at positions 524 to 776 of the family's 1533-position model. The record is from RNAcentral. Lineage: Bacteria; Pseudomonadati; Thermodesulfobacteriota; Desulfovibrionia; Desulfovibrionales; Desulfovibrionaceae.